GGGCUUUCCUGGCGCGUGUUGUAUGAUCUGGUUACGUCCUUGGACCCUACAGACACAAAGGGAAGCUGGUUUGAAAAAACUGUUGAGUUGGCAUGCUCCCUCCGUCGUCUAGAUAUUUGGGCUGAGAAAAUAAUUUCAAGCAAGGCUGGGAAACACAAAAGUAAAUAGUAUGAAAUGAUGUCAGCAAAAAAUGGGAAAAAAGUAGGGAACUCAAAAAUGAAUAAGCUGGCAAAACUGUCAGGAGCACCUUUUUUGGAAACUCUGAAACUGAUAAAAAAA
This 279-nucleotide long non-coding RNA is filed under the name Homo sapiens (human). Its description in RNAcentral is "HSALNT0087996". The record is from RNAcentral. Lineage: Eukaryota; Metazoa; Chordata; Mammalia; Primates; Hominidae.